This 886-nucleotide ribosomal RNA is filed under the name uncultured bacterium. Its description in RNAcentral is "bacterial SSU rRNA". It matches the Rfam family "Bacterial small subunit ribosomal RNA", at positions 1 to 889 of the family's 1533-position model. The record is from RNAcentral.
UAGAGUUUGAUCCUGGCUCAGAUUGAACGCUGGCGGCAGGCCUAACACAUGCAAGUCGAGCGGAUGAAGGGAGCUUGCUCCUGAAUUCAGCGGCGGACGGGUGAGUAAUGCCUAGGAAUCUGCCUGGUAGUGGGGGACAACGUUUCGAAAGGAACGCUAAUACCGCAUACGUCCUACGGGAGAAAGCAGGGGACCUUCGGGCCUUGCGCUAUCAGAUGAGCCUAGGUCGGAUUAGCUAGUUGGUGAGGUAAUGGCUCACCAAGGCGACGAUCCGUAACUGGUCUGAGAGGAUGAUCAGUCACACUGGAACUGAGACACGGUCCAGACUCCUACGGGAGGCAGCAGUGGGGAAUAUUGGACAAUGGGCGAAAGCCUGAUCCAGCCAUGCCGCGUGUGUGAAGAAGGUCUUCGGAUUGUAAAGCACUUUAAGUUGGGAGGAAGGGUUGUAGAUUAAUACUCUGCAAUUUUGACGUUACCGACAGAAUAAGCACCGGCUAACUCUGUGCCAGCAGCCGCGGUAAUACAGAGGGUGCAAGCGUUAAUCGGAAUUACUGGGCGUAAAGCGCGCGUAGGUGGUUCGUUAAGUUGGAUGUGAAAUCCCCGGGCUCAACCUGGGAACUGCAUCCAAAACUGGCGAGCUAGAGUAUGGUAGAGGGUGGUGGAAUUUCCUGUGUAGCGGUGAAAUGCGUAGAUAUAGGAAGGAACACCAGUGGCGAAGGCGACCAUCUGGACUGAUACUGACACUGAGGUGCGAAAGCGUGGGGAGCAAACAGGAUUAGAUACCCUGGUAGUCCACGCCGUAACGAUGUCAACUAGCCGUUGGGAGCCUUGAGCUCUUAGUGGCGCAGCUAACGCAUUAAGUUGACCGCCUGGGGAGUACGGCCGC